Molecule: ribosomal RNA, 735 nt
Filed under: Xylaria sp. genotype 396
Lineage: Eukaryota; Fungi; Ascomycota; Sordariomycetes; Xylariales; Xylariaceae
Description: eukaryotic LSU rRNA
Rfam family: Eukaryotic large subunit ribosomal RNA (bases 150-735)
Source: RNAcentral
CCUGUUGCUUAGCGUUGGGAGCCUACAGCCUGCUGUAGCUCCUUAAAGGUAGUGGCGGAGUCGGUUCACACUCUAGACGUAGUAAAAUCUUUAUCUCGCCUAUGGAUGAGCCGGCGCCUUGCCGUAAAACCCCUAAUCUUUCACAAGGUUGACCUCGGAUCAGGUAGGAAUACCCGCUGAACUUAAGCAUAUCAAUAAGCGGAGGAAAAGAAACCAACAGGGAUUGCCCUAGUAACGGCGAGUGAAGCGGCAACAGCUCAAAUUUGAAAUCUGGCCUUCGGGUCCGAGUUGUAAUUUGCAGAGGAUGCUUUGGGCGCGGUGCCUUCCGAGUUCCCUGGAACGGGACGCCUUAGAGGGUGAGAGCCCCGUACGGUUGGACACCAAGCCUCUGUAAAGCUCCUUCGACGAGUCGAGUAGUUUGGGAAUGCUGCUCUAAAUGGGAGGUAAAUUUCUUCUAAAGCUAAAUAUUGGCCAGAGACCGAUAGCGCACAAGUAGAGUGAUCGAAAGAUGAAAAGCACUUUGAAAAGAGGGUUAAAUAGCACGUGAAAUUGUUGAAAGGGAAGCGUUUACGACCAGACCUUUUCGCAGCGGAUCAUCCGGUGUUCUCACCGGUGCACUUCGCUGGGUUGAGGCCAGCAUCGGUUUCCGCAGGGGGAUAAAAGCCUGGGGAACGUAGCUCCCUCGGGAGUGUUAUAGCCCCUCGCAUAAUACCCUUGCGGGGACCGAGGACCGCG